AUUGAACGCUGGCGGCAUGCCUUACACAUGCAAGUCGAACGGCAGCACGGGAGCUUGCUCCUGGUGGCGAGUGGCGAACGGGUGAGUAAUACAUCGGAACGUACCCAGGAGUGGGGGAUAACGUAGCGAAAGUUGCGCUAAUACCGCAUAUUCUGUGAGCAGGAAAGCGGGGGAUCGCAAGACCUCGCGCUCUUGGAGCGGCCGAUGUCGGAUUAGCUAGUUGGUGAGGUAAAAGCUCACCAAGGCGACGAUCCGUAGCAGGUCUGAGAGGAUGAGCUGCCACACUGGGACUGAGACACGGCCCAGACUCCUACGGGAGGCAGCAGUGGGGAAUUUUGGACAAUGGGGGCAACCCUGAUCCAGCCAUGCCGCGUGAGUGAAGAAGGCCUUCGGGUUGUAAAGCUCUUUCGGCGGGGAAGAAAUGGCAACGGCUAAUAUCCGUUGUUGAUGACGGUACCCGCAUAAGAAGCACCGGCUAACUACGUGCCAGCCGCCGCGGUAA
Molecule: ribosomal RNA, 502 nt
Filed under: uncultured bacterium
Lineage: Bacteria
Description: partial 16S ribosomal RNA
Rfam family: Bacterial small subunit ribosomal RNA
Source: RNAcentral